CGUAGGUGGCGAGCGUUGUCCGGAAUUACUGGGUGUAAAGGGCGUGUAGGCGGGAUUGUAAGUCAGAUGUGAAAUUCCACGGCUUAACUGUGGGGCUGCAUCUGAAACUACAAUUCUUGAGUGCUGGAGAGGAAAGCGGAAUUCCUAGUGUAGCGGUGAAAUGCGUAGAUAUUAGGAGGAACACCAGUGGCGAAGGCGGCUUUCUGGACAGUAACUGACGCUGAGGCGCGAAAGCGUGGGGAGCAAACAGGAUUAGAUACCCUGGUAGUCCACGCUGUAAACGAUGGAUACUAGGUGUAGGAGGUAUCGACCCCUUCUGUGCCGCAGUUAACACAAUAAGUAUCCCACCUGGGGAGUACGGCCGCAAGGUUG
RNAcentral lists this ribosomal RNA (372 nucleotides) under uncultured organism. Its description in RNAcentral is "bacterial SSU rRNA". It matches the Rfam family "Bacterial small subunit ribosomal RNA", at positions 526 to 896 of the family's 1533-position model. The record is from RNAcentral.